Molecule: ribosomal RNA, 1389 nt
Filed under: uncultured bacterium
Lineage: Bacteria
Description: bacterial SSU rRNA
Rfam family: Bacterial small subunit ribosomal RNA
Source: RNAcentral
GAAUUCGCCCUUAGAGUUUGAUCCUGGCUCAGGACGAACGCUGGCGGCGCGCCUAACACAUGCAAGUCGAACGAGCGAGAGAGAGCUUGCUUUCUCGAGCGAGUGGCGAACGGGUGAGUAACGCGUGAGGAACCUGCCUCAAAGAGGGGGACAACAGUUGGAAACGACUGCUAAUACCGCAUAAGCCCACGGGUCGGCAUCGACCAGAGGGAAAAGGAGCAAUCCGCUUUGAGAUGGCCUCGCGUCCGAUUAGCUAGUUGGUGAGGUAACGGCCCACCAAGGCGACGAUCGGUAGCCGGACUGAGAGGUUGAACGGCCACAUUGGGACUGAGACACGGCCCAGACUCCUACGGGAGGCAGCAGUGGGGAAUAUUGCACAAUGGGGGAAACCCUGAUGCAGCGACGCCGCGUGGAGGAAGAAGGUCUUCGGAUUGUAAACUCCUGUUGUUGGGGAAGAUAAUGACGGUACCCAACAAGGAAGUGACGGCUAACUACGUGCCAGCAGCCGCGGUAAAACGUAGGUCACAAGCGUUGUCCGGAAUUACUGGGUGUAAAGGGAGCGCAGGCGGGAAGACAAGUUGGAAGUGAAAUCUAUGGGCUCAACCCAUAAACUGCUUUCAAAACUGUUUUUCUUGAGUAGUGCAGAGGUAGGCGGAAUUCCCGGUGUAGCGGUGGAAUGCGUAGAUAUCGGGGGGAACACCAGUGGCGAAGGCGGCCUACUGGGCACCAACUGACGCUGAGGCUCGAAAGUGUGGGUAGCAAACAGGAUUAGAUACCCUGGUAGUCCACACCGUAAACGAUGAUUACUAGGUGUUGGAGGAUUGACCCCUUCAGUGCCGCAGUUAACACAAUAAGUAAUCCACCUGGGGAGUACGACCGCAAGGUUGAAACUCAAAGGAAUUGACGGGGGCCCGCACAAGCAGUGGAGUAUGUGGUUUAAUUCGACGCAACGCGAAGAACCUUACCAAGUCUUGACAUCCGCCUGACCGAUCCUUAACCGGAUCUUUCCUUCGGGACAGGCGAGACAGGUGGUGCAUGGUUGUCGUCAGCUCGUGUCGUGAGAUGUUGGGUUAAGUCCCGCAACGAGCGCAACCCCUAUCCUCAGUAGCCAGCAUUUAAGGUGGGCACUCUGGGGAGACUGCCAGGGAUAACCUGGAGGAAGGCGGGGAUGACGUCAAAUCAUCAUGCCCCUUAUGAUUUGGGCUACACACGUGCUACAAUGGCGUAAACAAAGGGAAGCGAGAUCGUGAGAUGGAGCAAAUCCCAAAAAUAACGUCCCAGUUCGGACUGUAGUCUGCAACCCGACUACACGAAGCUGGAAUCGCUAGUAAUCGCGGAUCAGAAUGCCGCGGUGAAUACGCUCCCGGGUCUUGCACACACCGCCCGUCA